RNAcentral lists this ribosomal RNA (468 nucleotides) under uncultured bacterium. RNAcentral describes it as "partial 16S ribosomal RNA". It matches the Rfam family "Bacterial small subunit ribosomal RNA", at positions 28 to 507 of the family's 1533-position model. The record is from RNAcentral.
GACGAACGCUGGCGGCGUGCUUAACACAUGCAAGUCGAACGGAAAGGCCCUGCUUUUGUGGGGUGCUCGAGUGGCGAACGGGUGAGUAACACGUGAGUAACCUGCCCUUGACUUUGGGAUAACUUCAGGAAACUGGGGCUAAUACCGGAUAGGAGCUCCUGCUGCAGGGUGGGGGUUGGAAAGUUUCGGCGGUUGGGGAUGGACUCGCGGCUUAUCAGCUUGUUGGUGGGGUAGUGGCUUACCAAGGCUUGGACGGGUAGCCGGCCUGAGAGGGUGACCGGCCACAUUGGGACUGAGAUACGGCCCAGACUCCUACGGGAGGCAGCAGUGGGGAAUAUUGCACAAUGGGCGGAAGCCUGAUGCAGCAACGCCGCGUGCGGGAUGACGGCCUUCGGGUUGUAAACCGCUUUCGCCUGUGACGAAGCGUGAGUGACGGUAAUGGGUAAAGAAGCACCGGCUAACUACGUG